GACAGAGGGUGCAAACGUUGCUCGGAAUUACUGGGCGUAAAGCGCGUGUAGGCUGACCGGAAGGUCGGGCGUGAAAGCCCUGGGCUCAACCCAGGAACUGCACUCGAAACUCCCGGUCUAGAGUGGCGGAGAGGGAAGUGGAAUUCCUGGUGUAGAGGUGAAAUACGUAGAUAUCAGGAGGAACACCAGUGGCGAAGGCGGCUUCCUGGACACCAACUGGCGCUGAGACGCGAAAGCGUGGGGAGCAAACAGG
Molecule: ribosomal RNA, 253 nt
Filed under: uncultured bacterium
Lineage: Bacteria
Description: partial 16S ribosomal RNA
Rfam family: Bacterial small subunit ribosomal RNA
Source: RNAcentral